Felis catus (domestic cat) is the source of this 85-nucleotide non-coding RNA. NCBI's taxonomy places the organism in Eukaryota, Metazoa, Chordata, Mammalia, Carnivora, Felidae. The record is from Rfam.
GCCUGGGUGGCUCAGUUGGUUAAGCAUCUGACUUCGGCUCAGGUCAUGAUCUCACAGUUUGUGGGUUCAGGCCCCGUGUCAGGCU